GCCGACGUAGCUCAGUUGGAAGAGCAGCUGAUUCGUAAUCAGCAGGUCGGGGGUUCAAAUCCUCUCGUCGGCU
RNAcentral lists this transfer RNA (73 nucleotides) under Candidatus Omnitrophota bacterium. RNAcentral's name for it is "Candidatus Omnitrophica bacterium (sediment metagenome) tRNA-Thr". It matches the Rfam family "tRNA". Rfam says of the family: Transfer RNA (tRNA) molecules are approximately 80 nucleotides in length. Their secondary structure includes four short double-helical elements and three loops (D, anti-codon, and T loops). Further hydrogen bonds mediate the characteristic L-shaped molecular structure. tRNAs have two regions of fundamental functional importance: the anti-codon, which is responsible for specific mRNA codon recognition, and the 3' end, to which the tRNAs corresponding amino acid is attached (by aminoacyl-tRNA synthetases). tRNAs cope with the degeneracy of the genetic code in two manners: having more than one tRNA (with a specific anti-codon) for a particular amino acid; and 'wobble' base-pairing, i.e. permitting non-standard base-pairing at the 3rd anti-codon position. Lineage: Bacteria; Pseudomonadati; Candidatus Omnitrophota. The record is from RNAcentral.